ACCUUGCCCGAAAGGGCUGGGUAACCCGAUGAAAAUCCUUCNUGAUUGGGAUANGGACUUGCAAUUAUUUCCCUUGAACGAGGAAUUCC
RNAcentral lists this ribosomal RNA (89 nucleotides) under uncultured eukaryote. RNAcentral describes it as "partial 18S ribosomal RNA". It matches the Rfam family "Eukaryotic small subunit ribosomal RNA", at positions 1526 to 1614 of the family's 1831-position model. The record is from RNAcentral.